UGGGGAAUCUUAGACAAUGGGCGCAAGCCUGAUCUAGCCAUGCCGCGUGAGUGACGAAGGUCUUAGGAUCGUAAAGCUCUUUCGCCAGAGAUGAUAAUGACAGUAUCUGGUAAAGAAACCCCGGCUAACUCCGUG
This 135-nucleotide ribosomal RNA is filed under the name uncultured marine bacterium. Its description in RNAcentral is "partial 16S ribosomal RNA". It matches the Rfam family "Bacterial small subunit ribosomal RNA", at positions 355 to 507 of the family's 1533-position model. The record is from RNAcentral.